UUGCACGGGUGAGCUCCUAUGGUUCCUAUGACAAUGUACAUCUACUGCUUCUCUGCUACUGCAAGUGUCCAUCCUUGUAUGGUAAGCUUUGUGGUUUGGUCUGGGAUGGAAAUACACAUUUGCACCGGCUUGAUUCAGCUUUGUGUUGUCUGGAUCACCAUUGUAG
Molecule: non-coding RNA, 166 nt
Organism: Triticum urartu
Lineage: Eukaryota; Viridiplantae; Streptophyta; Magnoliopsida; Poales; Poaceae
Source: Rfam